ACAUAUCACACACAAUAACUAGAGAAUAUAGAUAUACGCACAAAAACUUCACUGAAAAAGAAGAAGGUCAUCGAAAAACGUACUAUGCACGCAUCAAACACACAUACACCAGAUCGGAGGAAAAAAUGGGAUAGAAGAGAGCUUGAGGGAGAGAACAGUGAGAGAAGUGUGAAAUAAAAAAUUAGAGGUUUUGAUUAGAGAGAUUUGAGAGAGGGAUAGAGAUGAGGGAGAGCUGAUCGGAGAUUGGGGGAGAGUGAAGAGAAAAAUAGUAGAAUCGAGAGAGGUAAGUGAGGGAGAGAAACAGUGAAGGUCAAUCUGGCGACCAGAUUUCACCGGAGAUCGAAUUAGCAUUUAAAAACGACCAAAACCGGCGAGUAACACUCUUUUGCCGACGGGCUCUCGUCGAAAAUAGUGCUUCCACAGAUCUGUGCCUAGAGCUCAUCACCACCAAGGUCAUAGGAGCUCCGGAGAGUUCGAAUCUCGCCGAAAACAGUGAAGUCGGCGUCCAAUCAAAACACCCAAUCCAUU
Molecule: long non-coding RNA, 528 nt
Filed under: Capsicum annuum
Lineage: Eukaryota; Viridiplantae; Streptophyta; Magnoliopsida; Solanales; Solanaceae
Description: long non-coding RNA (CANN_LNC000814)
Source: RNAcentral